Molecule: transfer RNA, 69 nt
Filed under: Halichoeres melanurus (tail-spot wrasse)
Lineage: Eukaryota; Metazoa; Chordata; Actinopteri; Labriformes; Labridae
Description: tRNA-Arg
Rfam family: tRNA
About the family: Transfer RNA (tRNA) molecules are approximately 80 nucleotides in length. Their secondary structure includes four short double-helical elements and three loops (D, anti-codon, and T loops).
Source: RNAcentral
AGACUAUUAGUUUAAGCAAAACAUUUGAUUUCGGCUCAAAAAACCACGGUUCAACCCCGUGACUGUCUU